Molecule: ribosomal RNA, 253 nt
Filed under: uncultured bacterium
Lineage: Bacteria
Description: partial 16S ribosomal RNA
Rfam family: Bacterial small subunit ribosomal RNA
Source: RNAcentral
UACGUAGGCAGCAAGCGUUGUUCGGAAUCACUGGGCGUAAAGCGCACGUAGGCGGAUCUUUAAGUCAGGGGUGAAAUCCUGGAGCUCAACUCCAGAACUGCCUUUGAUACUGGGGAUCUCGAGUCCGGAAGAGGUGAGUGGAACUCCGAGUGUAGAGGUGAAAUUCGUAGAUAUUCGGAAGAACACCAGUGGCGAAGGCGGCUCACUGGUCCGGUACUGACGCUGAGGUGCGAAAGCGUGGGGAGCAAACAGG